AGGAAAAAUGUAUAAAAGGGAAGACAAUUCGACGUUGGUGCCAUCAAUUCCGGUGGAGAAACACUUGAACAGAGCAGCAAUUCAAGGACCACAUAAAUCCCCAACAUGAAGUUCUUCUACGUUUGCCUCGCCUUCGCCCUCGUCGUCGCUUCCGUCGCCGCCCUCGAGGAGGAUAACGAGCUCUUCGACCUCAUGGACAAACGUUCGAUGGAUGACAGCGACCUCCUUGAAGCCAUGUUGUACGAGGGUGAACCCAUGGUGAAGAGGGGACGAUUCAAAUAUUGUAAGAACGCUCGUGGUGAUAGCUGCGUGUGUGACCGCAAAUACAGGCGAAACAACAGAAGACGUUACAUCAACUGCGUCCCAAAGAAUAUGGGAACACCAGUCUAAAUGGACCAAGGACCAACCUCACCUUAUUGACUAAAACAAGCGCAAAUGCUGCAUCAAUACAGCAAGCCUAUGGCAAUUGACAGUAAUCCCGCCGUUCUACGAAUCCAUCAUAUUCCACAUCAAAUCUUAAUUUCCAAGACUGGCCCUAAA
Long non-coding RNA from Lytechinus variegatus (green sea urchin), 540 nucleotides. RefSeq lists it as uncharacterized. The record is from RefSeq and is a predicted model, not a curated record. NCBI's taxonomy places the organism in Eukaryota, Metazoa, Echinodermata, Echinoidea, Temnopleuroida, Toxopneustidae. The transcript is spliced from 4 exons.